UUUCCUACGGGACGCAGCAGUAGGGAAUCUUCCACAAUGGGCGCAAGCCUGAUGGAGCAACACCGCGUGAGUGAAGAAGGGUUUCGGCUCGUAAAGCCCUGUUGUUGGAGAAGAAAGUGCGUGAGAGUAACUGUUCACGCAGUGACGGUAUCCAACCAGAAAGCCACGGCUAACUACGUGCCAGCAGCCGCGGUAAUACGUAGGUGGCAAGCGUUAUCCGGAUUUAUUGGGCGGAAAGC
Molecule: ribosomal RNA, 239 nt
Filed under: uncultured bacterium
Lineage: Bacteria
Description: partial 16S ribosomal RNA
Rfam family: Bacterial small subunit ribosomal RNA
Source: RNAcentral